Molecule: ribosomal RNA, 189 nt
Filed under: Meloidogyne hispanica
Lineage: Eukaryota; Metazoa; Nematoda; Chromadorea; Rhabditida; Meloidogynidae
Description: partial 18S ribosomal RNA
Rfam family: Eukaryotic small subunit ribosomal RNA
Source: RNAcentral
UCAUUACGUCCCUGCCCUUUGUACACACCGCCCGUCGCUGCCCGGGACUGAGCCAUUUCGAGAAAUUUGGGGACCGUUGAUUUAAUUUUUCUAAAUUACUUUGAUGGAAACCAAUUUAAUCGCAGUGGCUUGAACCGGGCAAAAGUCGUAACAAGGUAGCUGUAGGUGAACCUGCUGCUGGAUCAUUAC